Molecule: unclassified non-coding RNA, 269 nt
Filed under: uncultured fungus
Lineage: Eukaryota; Fungi
Description: partial contains 5.8S ribosomal RNA, internal transcribed spacer 2, and large subunit ribosomal RNA
Rfam family: 5.8S ribosomal RNA (bases 1-52)
Source: RNAcentral
AACGCACAUUGCGCCCUCUGGUAUUCCGGAGGGCAUGCCUGUUCGAGCGUCAUUAUCACCCCUCAAGCCCGGCUUGUUGUUGGACGCGGCGGUCGCCUUUGGUGGCCCCGCCCGUCUCAAAGAUAAUGACGGCGUCUGCGAGGACCCCUGUACACUGAGCUUUCGGGCACGUACUAGGUGUGGACUCCAGGCCCGGUCACCGUCCCCUCGGGGACAAAACUUUUAACCAGGUUGACCUCGGAUCAGGUAGGAAUACCCGCUGAACUUAA